UGGGGAAUUUUGGACAAUGGGGGAAACCCUGAUCCAGCCAUCCCGCGUGUGCGAUGAAGGCCUUCGGGUUGUAAAGCACUUUUGGCAGGAAAGAAACGUCGCGGGUUAAUACCCCGCGAAACUGACGGUACCUGCAGAAUAAGCACCGGCUAACUACGUGCCAGCAGCCGCGGUAAUACGUAGGGUGCAAGCGUUAAUCGGAAUUACUGGGCGUAAAGCGUGCGCAGGCGGUUCGGAAAGAAAGAUGUGAAAUCCCAGAGCUUAACUUUGGAACUGCAUUUUUAACUACCGGGCUAGAGUGUGUCAGAGGGAGGUGGAAUUCCGCGUGUAGCAGUGAAAUGCGUAGAUAUGCGGAGGAACACCGAUGGCGAAGGCAGCCUCCUGGGAUAACACUGACGCUCAUGCACGAAAGCGUGGGGAGCAAACAGGAUUAGAUACCCUGGUAGUCCACGCCCUAAACGAUGUCAACUAGCUGUUGGGGGCCUUCGGGCCUUGGUAGCGCAGCUAACGCGUGAAGUUGACCGCCUGGGGGAGUACGGUCGCAAGAUUAAAACUCAAAUGAAUUGAC
Molecule: ribosomal RNA, 568 nt
Filed under: uncultured bacterium
Lineage: Bacteria
Description: partial 16S ribosomal RNA
Rfam family: Bacterial small subunit ribosomal RNA
Source: RNAcentral